CAGCAGCCGCCGCGGUAAUACGUAGGUGGCAAGCGUUGUCCGGAUUUAUUGGGCGUAAAGCGAGCGCAGGCGGUCAAUUAAGUCUGAUGUGAAAGCCCCCGGCUCAACCGGGGAGGGUCAUUGGAAACUGGUUGACUUGAGUGCAGAAGAGGAGAGUGGAAUUCCAUGUGUAGCGGUGAAAUGCGUAGAUAUAUGGAGGAACACCAGUGGCGAAGGCGACUCUCUGGUCUGUAACUGACGCUGAGGCUCGAAAGCGUGGGUAGCAAACAGGAUUAGAUACCCGCGUAGUCCCUGUCUCUUAUAC
This 304-nucleotide ribosomal RNA is filed under the name uncultured bacterium. Its description in RNAcentral is "partial 16S ribosomal RNA". It matches the Rfam family "Bacterial small subunit ribosomal RNA", at positions 506 to 807 of the family's 1533-position model. The record is from RNAcentral.